Molecule: long non-coding RNA, 1463 nt
Filed under: Salmo salar (Atlantic salmon)
Lineage: Eukaryota; Metazoa; Chordata; Actinopteri; Salmoniformes; Salmonidae
Description: lncRNA (ENSSSAG00000081980.1)
Source: RNAcentral
GUGAGUGUGUUGUUUUUAAUUUUCUCAAAUUAUCAUCUUAAUUAUAGCUAUAUUACUUUUAAAGCAAUCUUUUGUCUUGUUGUGUCUCGGCCUUGACAUUGCCCCGUCCCUCGUCAUGUUAGCACGUGUUACACAGUUAAAGCCUGUGUGUUAUUUGCCUUCUUUCCUCUCAGCCUGAAUGUAUCCUUAGGAACAGGAUUUUAGUACCACCGCAGCGCCGCUUCGUUCCAGGCAUCAGGGUGUAACCAACGGUGACCCCGGUGUACACUGCCCACAUGGUGGCAUUUCAGAUAACUGAAAACGGUUUCACUUCUCCGCCAGUUUGUCUCCAGGUUUCGUCAGUGGGUCGUGGCAGAUGGGUCGCUAUGGUCCUCCUCUCUAUGGCCUCACAGGUCUACAUAAUGCACUGCAAUACUGUCUCGAAUCCAAGACGAUAUAGAAUUUUGCAAAACCAGAUGGAAGUCCCUCCGUGACACUUUUUUUAAGGCACCUACAGAAGGCCCAACCCAGCGGUUCUGGGGGAACCAAUCAGAAAGAAUGGAAAUACAUAUAUUAUAUCAUUCUUGAUACCUUACAUCCAGCCAACAAGCUCAAGAGGCAACCUCAGCCUUGAAAAUGCUGAUUCGCCUCAGCCACAACCUGUGGAGAUGGAUGACACUGAGGACAACGUGGGUUCCCCGAGCCAUGACCCUGUGCUUCAGAUGCCUGAACAUCAGUCAAGACCAACCACUACAGACACGGCUCAAGACUGGCAUCCAAGAAAAAGAAAACAGAAGGUCAACCAUCAAGAUGUGGAUGAAGAGCUGCUUGCAUUUGUCAGGAAGCCAAUCCCUUCUGCUGCUACCUCAGAUGAUGUGGAUGAGGUAUUUGUGCACAGCCUUGUGUCAGGAAGAAACAAGGGCACUCUGAAAAUGCAACUACUAUCAUUGAUUGUAAACUAGGAUGACCAGCAUGCAACACCUCUGCCACCACUUCCACCACCACAAUGGCUCUUUGAUGCUCUGCAUGGAAGAGUUGGACUGCAGCCUAUGAUGUACGGCCAGCCCAGGCAUCAAUACUCCUACUCACCAGGAUCUAUCUAACACAUAACUAGGAUGACCAGCAGGCAACACCACUGCCACCACCACGGCCUGCAAGUACUCCGCACGGAAAAGGUGGACUGCAGCCAAUCAUGUACGAUGAGCCCAGUGAUCAAUACUCACCAGAACUUAGGUCUCCAACACAUAGCUGGGAUGACAGCUUCAGUACAUUUUCUUAAGAGAGCUGGGUCCAAGAAUCCCAGUCACAUUGAUAAUCCCCUCCUAAAAAGACACAUCCCAUGUUCUGUUUUAGAGUUUUAAAAAGGGAAAGGUUUAUGUAUGCACUAUUUGCACUUCUUUGUUGUUGCAGUUAUAUUUGCAUUGCACCUUGUAUUUAACAUUUUUUUAAUCAUUUUUUGCUAUUCAGUGAAUAUUGUAAUUGGG